UACGUAGGGCGCGAGCGUUGUCCGGAAUCAUUGGGCGUAAAGAGCGCGCAGGCGGCCCGGCAAGUCGGGUGUGAAAUCCCGGGGCUCAACCCCGGGACUGCAUUCGAUACUGCCGGGCUAGAGGUAGGUAGGGGAGAUCGGAAUUCCUGGUGUAGCGGUGAAAUGCGCAGAUAUCAGGAGGAACACCGGUGGCGAAGGCGGAUCUCUGGGCCUUACCUGACGCUCAGGCGCGAAAGCUAGGGGAGCGAACAGG
Molecule: ribosomal RNA, 253 nt
Filed under: uncultured bacterium
Lineage: Bacteria
Description: partial 16S ribosomal RNA
Rfam family: Bacterial small subunit ribosomal RNA
Source: RNAcentral